ACGGAGGGUGCAAGCGUUAAUCGGAAUUACUGGGCGUAAAGCGCACGCAGGCGGUUUGUUAAGUCAGAUGUGAAAUCCCCGCGCUUAACGUGGGAACUGCAUUUGAAACUGGCAAGCUAGAGUCUUGUAGAGGGGGGUAGAAUUCCAGGUGUAGCGGUGAAAUGCGUAGAGAUCUGGAGGAAUACCGGUGGCGAAGGCGGCCCCCUGGACAAAGACUGACGCUCAGGUGCGAAAGCGUGGGGAGCAAACAG
This 251-nucleotide ribosomal RNA is filed under the name uncultured prokaryote. RNAcentral's name for it is "partial 16S rRNA". It matches the Rfam family "Bacterial small subunit ribosomal RNA", at positions 525 to 775 of the family's 1533-position model. The record is from RNAcentral.